This 257-nucleotide ribosomal RNA is filed under the name uncultured bacterium. RNAcentral describes it as "partial 16S ribosomal RNA". It matches the Rfam family "Bacterial small subunit ribosomal RNA", at positions 560 to 793 of the family's 1533-position model. The record is from RNAcentral.
CGGUAAAGACGCAUGCAGGCGGCCGUCGUUAAGUUACAGAUGUGAAAGACCCGGGGACCGUUUAACCUACCGGUAAGUUAGCAUUUAGUAAACUAGGCGAGGCUAGAGUCUUGUAGAGGGGGGUAGGAAUUUCUAGGUGUAGCGGUGAAAUGCGUAGAGAUCUGAAGGAAUACCAGUGGCGAAGGCGGCCCCCUGGACAAAGACUGACGCUCAGAUGCGAAAGCGUGGGGAGCAAACAGGAUUAGAUACCCUGGUAG